GUGCAUUUCCAGGGGGAAAGAAGGGGCUUAGUGAAGGAGAAUUUCCACCAUGGUUUCUCUUCCCUUGCCUGAGAACCCUCUGCCGCAUGAUGUGGAAUCCUUUUGUAAGGACCAGGAAGCGGAAGUGAGGUACUUACUCCAGGAGCAGCUCUAGUCCAGCCACCACAUGUCUGGGCUUUGGUCAAGUCCUUACUACUCAAAGUAUAGGCUGUGGCAUGGACCUGGGGCUUGCUAGAAAUGUGACAUUUCAGCUCCACUGACACCUGCUGGGUCAAAGCCUGCAUUUUAAUUGAAGUUUCAGAGCUCUGUAGGAAGUGACACAGUACUGGAUGCUGGGAAUAUAAACUGUUUGGCUCUGUCUUCCUGGAGCUGCAAUCUGAAGUGGGGAAAUCCUGAUGAAUUCACUGAGAACUCGUUCCACAGCGAGAGCAGUAUAGAGCUGUGCACUGAGUUACACAACUAUCAGACAGAUUUGCAUUCUUUCAUGAGAGAGCAAUGCUGACCAAUGGUGGAACUGUGUGAUGUUGCAGCCUUGGGAGGAGGCACAAGGAUAAUUUUGAUGCUGAUGGUCUCUGUAGAUUCAACCUGCUCUUGGAUCUUUAACAUACUGUGGCACUAGAAAUCAAGAAGUUACCAUUAACUGCAUGGUCACCUGACUUGUAGGAGGUCAAGGAAAUAAAGAUGUGAACAGACAAAAAACCCCAAGAGGGGCUCAGAGAGGGAGUGCUGAGAGCAUCUGUUCUGAGAAACUGCUGUUCAAAAUGGAAGGAAAUACACAAAGCCAAGAGGAACCUCCGUCGUGAGAAGAGCUGAGAGAUGAAGAACAAUGCCUGUAGGACUCUUAGAAAAGCCAUCUCCAUGAGCCACUGCCUCCUUCUCAGCACCAGUAUUCUGGAAAGAGCACACCUCAUAAAGUCCUCCUGAAGGGCAGAGAUGCUGGGGAAUUUAUCCACCAACUCUUUCCCCUGUGGGCUCAGAGGAGCUCCUGAACAUGGACAUCAGCUUCCUGUCACUGGAACAGAGCCUUCUAAAAGAAAUGGUUCAUUUUGGCUCAUGAUUUGGGAGGUUAUGCUCAUCACACAUUUGGGCCUGAGAGGAGGUAGAACAUUGCACUGAGAGUGCAUGGUAAAGCAAAGCUGCUCACCUCAGGGCCAGGAAGUGAAAAAGAGGGGGUGGGGUUACACAGUCCUCUCUGGGACUCUAAGCAACGUAAGGACCUGGGACUUGGCCCGACCUGGAGUUCCCACUGUCUCCCAGUGUGCCAGCCAGGGACCAAGCCUUUAACACAUGGGGCACUUUGGAGGACACUCAAUAUCUGAACUACAGUGAUGAGACAAGCCUGCCCUGUCCAGAGAACACCCUCAGGCAGGGCAAGGACAGAGGCUUUUGGCUGUGGGCAACCUGCCUGUUGGGACCACAGGAUGAAGGGAUGUUGUAAGGCAUAGGCAGCUCUGCUGCAGGGACUGUGCCUUCCCCUUUUGGCAUCCUCAGUACUGAGACCACAUCUGGAAGUUCAUGAACACUCAGCAAAUGUUCAAUGAACACAGGAAUGGGUGAGGAAUGCAUGCACAGAAAGCUUAUUUUUUUCAAUUGUUAUUGUUUUGUUAGUACACGUUUGCAGUACAUAAUAAUUACUUUCCUUGUGGAGCGUUGCUACAUCUCAAGGUGUGCGUGACACAUCUCAAUUCUUUUUUCAUCCCCUUAUCCUCCUCCUCCUCACUCCUUCCAUCUCAUGCUCCCCCUCCUUAUUUGCAAAAGAUCUAUCUCCCUAUUUCCUACUAUCUAUCUUUUAUUUUGCACUUUACUUAUAUUUCAAGUUUCACAUGUAAGAGAAACUGUAUGAUAUUUAAGCUUGUGUAUCUGGUUCACCUCAAUCAACAUUAUGGUCUCAAGAUGUAUCCGUUUUGGGCUGUUGUACCACCCCCACCAGGACAGAGGAGGUGAGCUGCACAGGCACCAGCAGCAACAUCCCUCUCCCCCCCCCCCCCCGUCUAAAUGAGAGACAUGUAAAGAAGUCUCAAAAACAGACUUCCAGAUCACCUACAGCAACCCCAAAGGGAAACAAAAUGGAACACUCUGAUACUCAACCUGGACUCCCUGAACUGGCAACAAAAGAGGAUCUGUAAAAAAUUACAUUAGAAAUAAUUUCUCAGAUAACAGCAGAGAUUGUGCUCAUAGUGCAACACAUGAUUAAUAAAUCUAGAGAG
This is a long non-coding RNA of Heterocephalus glaber (naked mole-rat), 2207 nucleotides long. The record is from Ensembl. Lineage: Eukaryota; Metazoa; Chordata; Mammalia; Rodentia; Bathyergidae.